AUUGAGCUAGAAUACUUUUAGAAGCACCAAUCCUUUGGUGCUUCUAAGUUUCUAACCCUUGGAUCUACUCCUUAAUUACUAAUAGCCCUUGGGUCAAACACUAUUCCACCUACCACCACCUACCACGAUCAUCCCAACCCCACGUCUCUCCAUCCAAUGAUUAAAAACUCGAAAGCACCACACACUUGGUGCUUUCGAGAGUAUUAUAGCUCAACUCAUAUAUAUAUAUACUAUACUAUAUAUGCUAUCAGAAGCAUAUAGGAUCUGGCGUUUUCGACUUUUGGACCCUUAAAUCAACCUCUUUUAUCAUUUUCAUCCAUUCGAUUAUACUAUUCAACUAACCACCCACUCAACCCUUGGGGGCCCACAUCAUCCUAACUGCACAUCUUUUAAUCCAACGGCAGAAAACUUUAGAGCAACAAGUCAUUGGUGCUAUUAAUAGUAUUCCAGCCUAAUAUAUGAGCUAGACUGGUAUACUAUCGGUAGCAUGGAGGUCUUCAUACUAUCAAGUUGUUUUCAAUGAUGCGGCUUCCAAAUCGACGAUCGGCCUCGUUAAACUUGAUCUACACUAUUAAAAAUAUUUGAAAACUAAAUUUCAUAAUUUUUCGACAUCAUUAAUUUAUCAAACGAAUAGUCUAAAAAUAAACGGCUGAAAAUAAAAAUCUCAUAAAAAAUGAUGAAAAAAUAUUUAAAUUUAAGAUUAGAGGUACUGAUCUUUCUUUAAAUAGUGAAAAUAAUUUUCUAUAAAAAUUUCAUCAGAUUUGGAUUAUUUUAUACUGUUGAAUUCACAAACGCAUUACAUCGACUAUUAAAAUUGUCAAUUUUGAGACCUUCGAUCACUAGCCAAAUGAUGUUGAAAAAUUAUGAAAUUUAGUUUUUAAAUACUUUUAAUCGUGUAGAUCAAAUCUAAAGGAGCGAUUGCCGAUUUGGAAGCCGCAUCAUUGAAAACAACUUGGUAGCACGGAGGUCUCCGUGCUACGGAUAGUAUACCAGCCUAGCGCUCUCUCUCUCUCUCUC
RNAcentral lists this long non-coding RNA (1017 nucleotides) under Ananas comosus (pineapple). RNAcentral's name for it is "long non-coding RNA (ACOM_LNC018478)". Lineage: Eukaryota; Viridiplantae; Streptophyta; Magnoliopsida; Poales; Bromeliaceae. The record is from RNAcentral.